UUUUUUUUUAUUUCAUUUAUCAAUCUCUCAAAACAUGUCUAACCUCUCAGGUCUCUCUCUAGGUAUCUAACCCUUUACUCUUACAGAUGUCUGGCACCAAAAGCUCGACGAAGACGACAACGGGGCUCGACAGCGCGAUGGCUUGACAAUCUGUCUCGCUGCUUUCGUCUUUGCAGGUCUGACGAUGUGCGAGGUCAAGGUUCGGUGAACGAUAGUGCACGAGGUCGGGAUGGUGUUCACUCAACCCCUCGUUUUUGAUAGUGGUACCGAAAUGGUGAAGGUUUCCAUUUCAAAUUUCGGCAUCAUUUGCGGUCACACGGGUUCAGAGGCUGGGAAAUCGAUUGCUUGGGUUAAGAGAUUGAGUUCAGAGAUUGGGAAUGGUGAAGAGGAUUGGGGAUGUGUCGAAGGAAAUAAAAAGAGUGAGGGCACAAAUGGAAGAAAACGAAGAACUGGUGAUACUAAUGAGAGGUAUUCGUGGACAAGCAAAUGUAACCUCUUUGGGUCCAGCUUAUAUCAAACUUGUCCAAGUAUUGAGCAUUAGUUCUGAUAUACUUUCACCAAGUGCAAUGACUGAGCUUCAAAAUCUCUGAUAAGGACUUGUCACAAAAUUAAUGGACGAUCAGAAGUAUGGAAUGAUUGAAGCAAUUGCUCAUCUUAUACAUCGUGAUUAUGGAGCCAUUGUCAAAGACUUUGUUAAACUUGGUUUCAUUCCAGAAGGUGUUAAUUUGGUUUCAAAGAUAUGUGGUUUGAAAAUGAAUUUAGUAUUUUAUUUUAUUUGUAAUAUUUAUUAGAGUAAAUGAUUCUUUUUUGAGUGGUUAAUUAUUUACUUUGUAAAUCUAGUUAUAUAUUUUUUAAGGUCAAGCCGAUUAUGUUUAUAGACAAGACUAUAUGAUUUUUGAGUCAA
This is a long non-coding RNA of Humulus lupulus (European hop), 904 nucleotides long. RefSeq lists it as uncharacterized. The record is from RefSeq and is a predicted model, not a curated record. The transcript has 3 exons. NCBI's taxonomy places the organism in Eukaryota, Viridiplantae, Streptophyta, Magnoliopsida, Rosales, Cannabaceae.